CUACGGGAGGCUCCAGUCAAGAAUAUUCCCCAAUGGCCGAAAGGCUGAGGGAGCGACGCCGCGUGUAUGAAGAAGCUUUUCGGAGUGUAAAGUACUUUUAACUGGGACGAAACAAUGACUUUACCAGUUGAAUAAGGGGCUGCUAACCUCGUGCCAGCAGCAGCGGUAAUACGAGGGCCCCAAGCGUUAUCCGGAUUUAUUGGGCGUAAAGAGUCUGUAGGCGGUUUAUUACAUCUCCUGUUAAAUCUAUCAGCUUAACUGGUAGGCUGCGGGAGAGAUGGAUAGACUAGAGGCCGGAAGAGGUAAGCGGAAUUGUUGGUGUAGGGGUUAAAUCCGUUAAUAUCAACAAGAACAUCAAAUGCGAAGGCAGCUUACUGGGACGGUUCUGACGCUGAGAGACGAAAGCGUGGGGAGCGAAUGGGAUUAGAUACCCCAGUAGUC
This 441-nucleotide ribosomal RNA is filed under the name uncultured bacterium. RNAcentral's name for it is "partial 16S ribosomal RNA". It matches the Rfam family "Bacterial small subunit ribosomal RNA", at positions 339 to 795 of the family's 1533-position model. The record is from RNAcentral.